CUGGCCUCCUCCACACAACUUCAACUGGACAUCGUGGUACUGUGAGAAACAGAAACACAGAGUUCAUAUUUGGGAACAAAGCAAGAGGAGUUUAAUGCACUGAGCACCAGGGUUUGGUGGGAGCUGCUGAGUUACAAGUGGUGACUGCAAGUUGGUCAGGAUGGCUGUCAGCAAAGGUAGAAGAGCCGAGCAAAGCAGAGACGCUGCAUUUCCCCUGGAGACAGAACAUCAUACCUGCAGACAACAACUAAUUCAGGGUCUGCAUUGAUUUGUGGCACAAGCAAGACAAACAUUUAUUGUUUUACUUUGCCAUCGUUGUUGUGGUAUUUUCUCUUACCAGUUCCAGUCCACCUUUUCAUCCAACCCGCCCGUCCGCUUCAGGAGACUGGACUGGAUCACAGAUAGCAGUUUAAUUCAGUAUUCAAAAUCAAAAUAAUGUUGUGACAUAUUCAAGCUGAAUAAGUAAUUGAGCAAAA
Molecule: non-coding RNA, 476 nt
Organism: Plectropomus leopardus (leopard coralgrouper)
Lineage: Eukaryota; Metazoa; Chordata; Actinopteri; Perciformes; Serranidae
Source: RefSeq, a predicted model, not a curated record